RNAcentral lists this ribosomal RNA (440 nucleotides) under uncultured bacterium. Its description in RNAcentral is "partial 16S ribosomal RNA". It matches the Rfam family "Bacterial small subunit ribosomal RNA", at positions 338 to 795 of the family's 1533-position model. The record is from RNAcentral.
CCUACGGGGGGCAGCAGUAGGGAAUAUUGCUCAAUGGGGGCAACCCUGAAGCAGCAACGCCGCGUGGAGGAUGAAGGUUUUAGGAUUGUAAACUCCUUUUGUGAGAGAAGAUAAUGACGGUAUCUCACGAAUAAGCACCGGCUAACUCCGUGCCAGCAGCCGCGGUAAUACGGAGGGUGCAAGCGUUAAUCGGAAUCACUGGGCGUAAAGAGUGCGCAGGCGGGCUUGUAAGUCAUAUGUGAAAUCCCCGCGCUCAACGUGGGAACUGCCUUUGAAACUGGCAAACUGGAGUGUGUGAGAGGUUAGUGGAAUGACAGGUGUAGGAGUGAAAUCCGUAGAUAGCUGGAGGAACAUCAGUGGCGAAGGCGACUAUCUGGCACAUAACUGACGCUGAGGAGCGAAAGCGUGGGUAGCAAACAGGAUUAGAUACCCUGGUAGUC